Molecule: long non-coding RNA, 690 nt
Organism: Micropterus salmoides (largemouth bass)
Lineage: Eukaryota; Metazoa; Chordata; Actinopteri; Centrarchiformes; Centrarchidae
Exons: 2
Source: RefSeq, a predicted model, not a curated record
UGUUGCAGGGUUUGAGGAAGAGACAAGUGGACAUGAUCAAGGAUGGAGUAUAUGGGAGCAGCCAAUCAUUGACCAGGGUGACUACACUGUUAAGAGAGAUCUGAGGUAAAGCAGUCAGGCAACUGGCUAGCUUUUGUUGCCAUAGAUGAGAGCAAAUUCAGACACAAAAGAAAGUAUGGACGUGGACGACGUGGACACACCUGGAGAAGACACUUGUGGGUCUUUGGAAUGGUGGAAGUCAAGGGAUGCCAUAGACGUCCAAUCUUAAAGCUUGUAAAAUAUCGAUCCAGGAAGCGACUGUUCCCAAUUAUCCAGAAGUACAUUAGACCUGGUAGUAAAGUGAUAAGUGAUAGCUGGAGUGCCUACAACAGGUUAUCACGUCAUGGUUACAUUCACUAUCAGGUGAAUCACAGGAGACAUUUUUUCCACCAUGGGAGUGGUGCUCACACUCAGCAUACUGAACGGGCGUGGCGAAAUUAUAAAGAGGACAUUUACCAAUACAGAGGAAACCUGACAGAAAAGGCAUUAAAGAUGAACUUGAGGUUCACUGAGUGGAACUACUGGUUUGGAAAAGGAGCACAAGAAGGGUAUAUUAGACGCCUUUGCAAAGACAUCAGAGCGUGCUACCACGUUUAAGUGAUGCUGACGGGGUAAAUACUGCAGAUUUCCUAUCAUGUGAUUAAUAGCAUA